Molecule: ribosomal RNA, 490 nt
Filed under: uncultured bacterium
Lineage: Bacteria
Description: partial 16S ribosomal RNA
Rfam family: Bacterial small subunit ribosomal RNA
Source: RNAcentral
AUUGAACGCUGGCGGCAUGCUUUACACAUGCAAGUCGGACGGCAGCACAGAGAAGCUUGCUUCUUGGGUGGCGAGUGGCGAACGGGUGAGUAAUAUAUCGGAACGUACCGAGUAAUGGGGGAUAACUAAUCGAAAGAUUAGCUAAUACCGCAUAUUCUCUGAGGAGGAAAGCAGGGGACCUUCGGGCCUUGCGUUAUUCGAGCGGCCGAUAUCUGAUUAGCUAGUUGGUGGGGUAAAGGCCUACCAAGGCGACGAUCAGUAGCGGGUCUGAGAGGAUGAUCCGCCACACUGGGACUGAGACACGGCCCCGACUCCUACGGGAGGCAGCAGUGGGGAAUUUUGGACAAUGGGCGCAAGCCUGAUCCAGCCAUGCCACGUGUCUGAAGAAGGCCUUCGGGUUGUAAAGGACUUUUGUCAGGGAAGAAAAGGCUGUUGCUAAUAUCAAGAGCUGAUGACGGUACCUGAAGAAUAAGCACCGGCUAACUACGUG